Molecule: long non-coding RNA, 4222 nt
Organism: Fukomys damarensis (Damara mole-rat)
Lineage: Eukaryota; Metazoa; Chordata; Mammalia; Rodentia; Bathyergidae
Exons: 3
Source: RefSeq, a predicted model, not a curated record
GUAAUCCUCCUGCCUCAGCCUCCUGAGUGCUGGGAUUACAGGAACUGAAUCAAGCAAUGACAGGGCUGGAAAGUCUGAAAUCUGCACGGAGGUGAGUGGCUGGAGGUUUCAGGGAGGGUUGUCUUAGUUACUUGUUGCUGAGACACAAUACCCAGCCCCCAAAGUUAAAGGGGAGAAGAUUGAUUUGACUCAUAGUCUGGUGAGGUUUCAGUUCACAAUUGGCUGGCUGACCAAGCAGAGUGGCACAGGAGAAACAGUCCAUGGCAGGCAAAAGACAGUGAAAGCAAGCAAGCAAGGGAUCUUAACAGCGUCUCCCUGCCCCUUUAUCUUCUCCAGGCUACUUAGCGUGGGCAGUGCUCACACCCUCAUCCCAGUACCCUUGAGCCUAGAUCUGAAAAGCCCACCGGUGACUGCAUGAGGCUUUGGGGGACAGCUAGACACAAGACAUAACAGGUGCUGACACUGCGGCCUGUCCGAAGGCUGAGGCAGGCAGGUCUCAUGUCUCUCGAGGGGCCUCAGCCUUUCUCUUACACUUGAAAAAUAUUUUCACCACCACGUCUGCACCAGUGUUUGACCACACAGCUGGUCACCAAUGGCCCAGCCAAGUCAGCGCAUAAACUUCCCCAUCAAAUCAAUCGCCAUUAAAUCAAGUUUGCCAAGUGCAGGACCGCUGAGGAGUGAGCAGGGCCAGGAGCAGCUUGGGGGAGAGGGAGGAGGGAGCAGAGCAGGAGGAGGGUGUGUCAGUCAUGUUUGCUGGAUCUUGUGCCGGGGAUCGAACUCAGGACCUUGCGCUUGCGAGGCAGGCGGUGGCACCACUGAGCCAAACCCCCAGCCCCAGUCAUGUUUACUAGAGAAACAGACAUAGCACAAGGUUUACAGAUAAAUAAGAAUUCACCAGAUUGGCUCCAGUGGCCGCCCUCAGGGUUAGAUGAGGAAGAGGGCAGAGUGUCUGUCUGCACCCUGGAGACCAGAGGAUGCAGUCGAAGGCCUGGAGCUCACUGCAGUGUCCUGUGCGCGUCCACAUCCCCCCGAGGUGUACACCGGAAGCCAAAGUCUGCGCUGGAAGCCAGGAGCUGGCGUCCCAGGCGUUCUGUCACAGCCACGGAAGCAGACUGCGGCGCAGGUCAGGCGCCUUCCCGCUCCAGUGCGAUGUCCGGCUCCCCACCAGGCCCAGUGACUUCCUCACAGCUCUUCCGCCUUCUCCAGCCGGAGGUGCCCCUGGCGGCCUGGGGGGUUAGCAGUAAGGCACAGAUGCUGGUGUGCUGGCCGCCCUGGACAGCUUGUUUGGCUGCUGUCCUGAGUGACCCAGGAGCCAGAGGGACAAUCUCCCGACGUCCAAAUCUGCAGAGACGAGGCCGUGGCUCUCACAGUGUGCAGAGGAGACGCUGAGUUUCUGCCUUGCUUCCCGCUGUGCUCCUAGAGGCCGCUCAGCACCUUCACAGCCACAUUUCCUUUCCACCUGCAAGGGGGCUCCGGGCCGGCCGCGGGGGGCUCACCCAGGGCACAGCCGGCUCCCUGCUGGGGCCCUGAGGGUUAUUUGCCUCUGCUGCCCCCGGCCCAGGUGAGCCCCGACCUCAGGCACAGGUGUAGGCGGGUGCCGGGGAGGAGCGCCCCCUUCUGGAAACUUCUCUUCGCGCACCCCCAGAGGAGAAAUCCCGGCUCCUCUGAGACCCUGUUCGCCAUCCCUGGGUGAGUAACUCUCCCUGCCGAGCUGGGCUCUUGACGUCCUCCCAGGAGGGGACAGCUCGGCCCGCGCUCCCUAGCCGGCGCGCCUGUCUCUACCCUGUCUGUGGUGAGGCUGCCUGCGAGGUGGUGGGAGCCCCGUUAACAGCUGCAUCAAGAAAAUGAUAUUACUGUCAUCAUUACUUUGUGACUCCGGGGAUGGGACACAGGGCCUUGUGUGUCGAGCACACUCAGGCAUCUGUUAUUAAUAACUUUCAUCAGAGUAAAUAAAGUGAAAGUCUGCUACAGAAGAGAGACUCAGCUAAGUGUCCCGUAGGCCAGCGGGGGACCCUCCGGCACGGGGGCCACAUCCACCUGUUACCUCUGAAACUCUACCAGCUUCGCCGCCCCUGCCGGGGACAGAUUAACUUCUUCAAGACAGUGUUUUAGUCCGCGUUGGCGGCACCCGAGGGUCGCUGGUGCAUCGCACUACACAGCUUCGUUCCUUUUCUGUCCCCUCCGUCCUCUCCCUCCAUCUCGUCCCCUGUGCAGCAGCCCCGUCCCUCUGACGCUCCUCCGCCCGCCCCGUGCCCCUUCCUAGAAGCCAAGAGCAGCCCACGUGCUUUCCCCAUGUCCACGCCCGCCCCGGGUCCAGGAUCUGGGGGUCCCGCGGGGGUUACUGCCGGAAACAUCUGUCAUUUCUGUAACCAGAUGUUCCUCUUCUGAUGUGGCACUUUCUAAAAUCAUGCUGAAGGGAGAGGAAAAAUGAACAAAUCUAACCCAACCAGACUAAACCAAUGCUUGGGUGCCCCGCUUCUGCUGUGAGGACCUAGGAGCUACCUACGGUCUUCAGGGCCACCGAUACCUGCAUCCCCAGGCUGCCGUGCGGCUCAGACGAGCAAACGUCCACCAAAUCGUCUGACCGGUAGAAGUGGCUGGGGAAGGCGCUCUGAUUAUCAUUCCGGUCUCCUCUGAUACUGCAGCUCGUGUACUUUUAGGAAGGUUUGUUUUAUGUUGCGCAGAAAUGGGCUUCCUUGUGACUUUUAUCCCCAAUGGGCCCAGUCUUCGUUUUCGGAGAGGAAGAGAGUCGGUGUUAGUCCCAGAGCGUUCCCCUCCGCCAUCCGGGUACCGCACUGUUUGCACACCCGGGACCAUUGUAGCUGGUUAUUUCCAGAAGGGAAGAGAAUAUUCUACACAGCUGUGUUGCUGGCUUUUCAAGAUUCUCAAUGGCAGAGCCCUUUUCUGCUGCUUCUGUCUUUUCUAUUGGAUUUUUUUUUUUUAGACAGGGUCUCACUAUGUACUUCAGGGUGGUCUUGAGCUCACAGCGUAGUCCGAGCUAGUUUUGGACUCAGCAGUGAUCCUCCUGCCUCAGCCUCCUGAGCAUUAGGAUUAUAGGCGUGCACCACCACGCCUGGCUUCUUCGGGUGGAAUUUGAUCAGUGGCUGGUGCAGUCAUCUGUCUCUCUCAGAGGAAUAACACAUCAUCGGCAAGGGUGAUAACUGUUCCCAGAUGGGUGAGCCGACCCUGGGAGAGACUGACCAGUAUUUAUGAAUUUUGUCACCAGGUCAUUGAACGGUUCACAGCUUUGAAACCAGCCACGGAAGGGCUAUUUGUGCCGUGGAUCUGGCCAGUGCUGCAGACCAGGCAUUUGUUUUCUUUCCAGAGAGCUGGUUUACUGACACCCACUGCUUCGGGUGAGAAAAACUCACUGCCAUUUAUUCCUGGAGAAAAAUAACAAGAAACAAGUUGCCCUAGUCUUAGGCAAAGCCUGAGAUUCAACUACGCUUUGGUUCCUGGAAUAUCUGUUUUCUCAAGAAAGAAGAGAGGGUCCGGGAUUUGGCUCAGUGGUUCCGCCACCUGCCUUGCAAGCACAAGGUCCCGAGUUUGAUCCCUGGUACCAAACACAAACAAGAAAGAAGAAUAAGUGAUAAUAAUAAACAAUGAUAGAACUCUGGCUUAAGGGUGGGCACCUGGAAGUAAUCAUAAAGUUUGCAGGCCAUGCUCAGGUGUGAAUACGACCUGUCCUGCCCCUCUUACUCUUGGAAGUGGGGCUGGAAAUUUGGUCGAGAGAACAGAAAACUUAGACGCUCUUAGAGUCCGGCCACAGGUUCCCUGCCGUCCUGUAGCUGCCCAGGUGCCUUAGGGAGACGCAGCGGCACUCGAGCAGGUCUUGUGAAAAGAGCUUGCCGCCGGGGGAGACGACGCAAACCCUCACCCCAGCGCACGGUCCACACGGCCAGCCCCAGGGCCAGCGCAGGGUCUUGGGAGGAGACCGGAGAUGUGCGCUGCGGCGCCCGGCUCUUCCUGGCCAGAGAACAGUUCUCCGUGCAGAGCCCCCGAGCUAACGGCAGGCAGAACACGCAGUUCCUGUUUUCAGUCAGCCCUAACCGAGCCCCCCGAAUUGCCGUGGGCCACUUGGCUGAGGCUUUUUUGGAAAAUACUGGGUGCUGCACUAACCCACCAAAGCCACAGAACGUAGACCUGGCGGCAGUGUCUCCGUGUGGACGCCCGGCACCUGCAAGCCCAGCGGUGCGGGCGGAAACGACGCAGCCGCCCCUCC